RNAcentral lists this transfer RNA (74 nucleotides) under Candidatus Thorarchaeota archaeon. RNAcentral's name for it is "tRNA-His". It matches the Rfam family "tRNA". From Rfam's summary of the family: Transfer RNA (tRNA) molecules are approximately 80 nucleotides in length. Their secondary structure includes four short double-helical elements and three loops (D, anti-codon, and T loops). The record is from RNAcentral. Lineage: Archaea; Promethearchaeati; Candidatus Thorarchaeota.
GCCUAGGUGGUGUAAUGGUAGCAUAGGGGAUUGUGGCUCCCCUGACGCGGGUUCGACUCCCGCCCUGGGCCCCA